Molecule: ribosomal RNA, 492 nt
Filed under: uncultured bacterium
Lineage: Bacteria
Description: partial 16S ribosomal RNA
Rfam family: Bacterial small subunit ribosomal RNA
Source: RNAcentral
AGUGAACGCUGGCGGUAGGCCUAACACAUGCAAGUCGAACGGCAGCACAGUAAGAGCUUGCUCUUACGGGUGGCGAGUGGCGGACGGGUGAGGAAUACAUCGGAAUCUACUUUUUCGUGGGGGAUAACGUGGGGAAACUUACGCUAAUACCGCAUACGACCUACGGGUGAAAGCAGGGGAUCUUCGGACCUUGCGCGAUUGAAUGAGCCGAUGUCGGAUUAGCUAGUUGGCGGGGUAAAGGCCCACCAAGGCGACGAUCCGUAGCUGGUCUGAGAGGAUGAUCAGCCACACUGGAACUGAGACACGGUCCAGACUCCUACGGGAGGCAGCAGUGGGGAAUAUUGGACAAUGGGCGCAAGCCUGAUCCAGCCAUACCGCGUGGGUGAAGAAGGCCUUCGGGUUGUAAAGCCCUUUUGUUGGGAAAGAAAAGCAGCAGGUUAAUACCCCGCUGUUCUGACGGUACCCAAAGAAUAAGCAGCGGCUAACUUCGUG